UUCCGGUUGAUCCCGCCGGACCUGACUGCUAUCGGAUUGAUACUAAGCCAUGCGAGUCUUUGCAGUAAUGCAAGGCAUACGGCUCAGUAACACGUAGUCAACUUACCCUAUGGACGAGGAUAAUCUCGGGAAACUGAGCAUAAUACUCGAUAGAUCAUAAUGCCUGGAAUGGUUUAUGGUUGAAAUGAUUCAUCGCCAUAGGAUGGGACUGCGGCCUAUCAGCUUGUUGGUGAGGUAAUGGCCCACCAAGGCGAUUACAGGUACGGGCUCUGAGAGGAGAAGCCCGGAGAUGGGUACUGAGACAAGGACCCAGGCCCUAUGGGGCGCAGCAGGCGAGAAAACUUUGCAAUGUGCGAAAGCACGACAAGGUUAAUCCGAGUGAUUUCUGCUAAAGAAAUCUUUUGCAAGUCAUAAAACCACUAGUGAAUAAGGGGUGGGCAAGUUCUGGUGUCAGCCGCCGCGGUAAAACCAGCACCUCAAGUGGUCAGGAGGAUUAUUGGGCCUAAAGCAUCCGUAGCCGGCUCUGUAAGUUUUCGGUUAAAUCCAUGUGCUCAACGCAUGGGCUGCCGAAAAUACUGCAUAGCUAGGGAGUGGGAGAGGUAGACGGUACUCGGUAGGAAGGGGUAAAAUCCUUUGAUCUAUCGAUGACCACCUGUGGCGAAGGCGGUCUACCAGAACACGUUCGACGGUGAGGGAUGAAAGCUGGGGGAGCAAACCGGAUUAGAUACCCGGGUAGUCCCAGCUGUAAACGAUGCAGACUCGAUGAUGCAUUGGCAUAUAGCCAGUGCAGUGUCGCAGGGAAGCCGUUAAGUCUGCCGCCUGGGAAGUACGUACGCAAGUAUGAAACUUAAAGGAAUUGGCGGGGGAGCACCACAAGGGGUGAAGCCUGCGGUUCAAUUGGAUUCAACGCCGGG
This 914-nucleotide ribosomal RNA is filed under the name uncultured marine archaeon. Its description in RNAcentral is "bacterial SSU rRNA". It matches the Rfam family "Archaeal small subunit ribosomal RNA", at positions 1 to 922 of the family's 1478-position model. The record is from RNAcentral.